UACGUAGGGGGCAAGCGUUGUCCGGAUUUAUUGGGCGUAAAGAGCUCGUAGGCGGUUUGGUAAGUCGGAUGUGAAAUCUCCAGGCUCAACCUGGAGGGGUCAUUCGAUACUGCCGUGACUAGAGUUCGGUAGGGGAGUGUGGAAUUCCUGGUGGAGCGGUGAAAUGCGCAGAGAUCAGGAGGAACACCCGUAGCGAAGGCGGCACUCUGGGCCGAUACUGACGCUGAGGAGCGAAAGCGUGGGGAGCGAACAGG
RNAcentral lists this ribosomal RNA (254 nucleotides) under uncultured bacterium. Its description in RNAcentral is "partial 16S ribosomal RNA". It matches the Rfam family "Bacterial small subunit ribosomal RNA", at positions 524 to 776 of the family's 1533-position model. The record is from RNAcentral.